AGAUACUCUUGGAGGUUUCUCGGGAGACGCAGCCGUUCCGAAAUACCAGCCUUUUGGUCGCUGGCCCCUGACCUAAAGUUUCCAAAAGCUCCUGACCAUCUCUCGGGAGGUUCCGAAGGGCUCUGGAUACUGGCGCGGCAUUUCCGACGCCGCCUUCGAAGCGGAAGCUGUGGGCAGACUUCGGCCACCGUUCCAUUGCCGCUUCGGGGUCACUUGCAGGAAGAUCUGGACUCGGCUCCCCGGAUCCUCGACCAUUCAUGGCGCCCCCAGUCGUCCGCACAGCUUGCCGUCCACCGCCGUGACUGCGGCGCUGGAACCCCGGCCCGGCAUCUGCUUUUCCGUGCCUGGAGCCUUGUCUCUCCGCACUAGCGCUGCACUGGCCCCUUGUCUCUGUGACAGGCGAAGAAAGAUCCCUGGACCGGGAUUAGGAGACGCGGGUUCUAGUUGCCACCUUGCCAACUGCUGGACAUCCUUGGGCAAACCACUUGGGCUCCAUUUUGCCAUUUGUUGAAUGAGAUUCCCCAAAAGCCCCUGACGUGCUGCCGCCGCCCCUUCUCCUCGAGGCAGUCCCCUGCCCUUCCCUUCUGCUGCUUACACUACCCUAUCACCACCCCUCAAUCUCUAUCUUCCUCUGCACGUCCCUUGCCCCUUCUAGUCCGCCACCUCUCUUUAGAUUUCCCGUUUUCAUUUCCACCUCUCCCGCCGAACGCCUCCUCUGCCCACCUUCCAGAGAGGCCUGGGUCUGGUACACGCUUUUCCACUGACCACCUGUGUGAUUCUCAGCAAGGCUCUCGGCCGCCUGCGCCCCACCCUCGUCCCCUUGCAGGGUUGAUCCGGUGAGACAGAAAAGGCUUUGAGAGCUGGUUCUGUGAAGAGUACAUGAAAUUUUGGCUACUUCUUUCAGGACUUAUCAGGUCUUACCAGGUCUGCACAAACCACGACGUCCUGGAAAAACAGCACAUGUAGAGAUGGGGUAUCACCGUCUUAGCCAGGAUGGUCUACGAUCUCCUGACCUCGGGAUCCGCCCGCCUCGGCCUCCCAAAGUGCUGGGAUUA
Molecule: long non-coding RNA, 1055 nt
Filed under: Homo sapiens (human)
Lineage: Eukaryota; Metazoa; Chordata; Mammalia; Primates; Hominidae
Description: HSALNT0331248
Source: RNAcentral